CAAUAGCGUAUAUUAAAGUUGUUGCAGUUAAAAGCUCGUAGUUGGAUUUCAGUCUUAGUUCGUCUGGCCCGCUCCCUUGAGGAGCCGAGUGCCGGUUGCGAGCUGGACUUCCUUCUAGCAUGGAACCUCUACCGUUAUGCGGCCGGGGGGACAUCUGGAUCAUUUACUUUGAAGAAAUUAGAGUGUUCAAAGCAAGCUUACGCUGUGAAUAUAUUAGCAUGGAAUAAUAACAUAGGACUCGGGUUCUAUUUUGUUGGUUUCUAGGACUCAAGUAAUGAUUGAUAGGGACAGUUGGGGUGGCUGCUAUUAUAUGCCAGAGGUGAAUUACACGGAUUCAUAUAAGAGCAACUUAUGCGAAAGCAUUCACCAAGGAUGUCUUCUUUAAUCAAGAACGAAAGUUGGGGAGUCGAAGAUGAUUAGAUACC
This 425-nucleotide ribosomal RNA is filed under the name uncultured eukaryote. RNAcentral's name for it is "SSU rRNA". It matches the Rfam family "Eukaryotic small subunit ribosomal RNA", at positions 592 to 1016 of the family's 1831-position model. The record is from RNAcentral.